RNAcentral lists this long non-coding RNA (456 nucleotides) under Brassica napus (rape). RNAcentral describes it as "long non-coding RNA (BNAP_LNC018295)". The record is from RNAcentral. Lineage: Eukaryota; Viridiplantae; Streptophyta; Magnoliopsida; Brassicales; Brassicaceae.
AAUUCCUCUGAGUUCAUUUGUAGAGAUAAUUACAUUAUGAGCCAUUUUUAUGACUUAUAUUUACACAGUGGUUACUUAAGAUUCCUGACACACUUUUCAACUAAAACCAUGCUAAACAUAUUUGCUGCCCCUAAUUCCAACUAAAUCAUUUAAAGUAAGUGUUACUUAAGGCAACAGCUAGUUGUCACUGACUUUUUUUGGAAGACUGUGCGGCGCUCGGAUAUGUCACUUCCAUACCGAGCCAGUCUCCCUUCCUAGAACAUUUCUGCCAUGCCUUGAGAUCAUUAGGGGUACAACUCCAGUAUCUGACCCGUUUGUACAGGGAUGACUUAGUCCCUUCUUGAAAGGUAGAUCCAUGAUCAGCGACAAAUACCCCGAACAUAUUUUGGUUUGUUCUUCCUUAUACAAAGGGUUUAACCAACCUUGGUCCUACACACCCCUUCCCUGAAGCACGAC